RNAcentral lists this transfer RNA (79 nucleotides) under Fusarium annulatum. RNAcentral describes it as "tRNA-Met". The record is from RNAcentral. Lineage: Eukaryota; Fungi; Ascomycota; Sordariomycetes; Hypocreales; Nectriaceae.
GGGCUAUAACUUAAUAGGUAAAGUGUACUGCUCAUAACAGUACUGCGGUAUUCCCGUUACGGUAAACAGUUGUAGCCCA